ACGUGUCCGAUAUGGAUUGGUCCGGCUCGGAGCGGGGAGAAUCUGGGAAGCCGGUGUGAUUCCGGCACGGGCCCGCCGCGGUGACCGGGGAGCCGCCGCCCACGCGCGCGAGCGCAGCCACUGGCCGCAACGGCUGGGAAGGCGGGCGGUGAGGCGACGAUCCGGGAGUCCGAAGACCGGCCUCGCCGACUGUCGCCCG
This 199-nucleotide non-coding RNA is filed under the name Actinoplanes missouriensis. RNAcentral also lists the same sequence under 1 other name. Lineage: Bacteria; Bacillati; Actinomycetota; Actinomycetes; Micromonosporales; Micromonosporaceae. The record is from RNAcentral.